Long non-coding RNA from Tympanuchus pallidicinctus (lesser prairie-chicken), 1187 nucleotides. RefSeq lists it as uncharacterized. The record is from RefSeq and is a predicted model, not a curated record. Lineage: Eukaryota; Metazoa; Chordata; Aves; Galliformes; Phasianidae. The transcript is spliced from 3 exons.
UCAGCCCAACCAGGGUAAAGCAAUGCCCUUUGAGGAUACAAGAUUGUAGGAGGAUAAAAGAAAUAAAAAUAAUUUUUUUUUAAAUUUUGGAUUACUAAUUGGAUAGAAAUCCAAAUACAACACCCAAUCUUGCAAAUGAAAAAUUGGAUGGCAAGAGCUAUAGUUUGGUACAAGAUUUGAGGGCAAUUGAUAAAAAAGUUGAAUAUAUACAACACAUGGUGUAUAUCUUUAUUAACCAAGUAAGGAAUAAGCAGGUGAGGUUUACCGUUCUGGACUUGAAGUACACCUUUUCCUGCCUGGUUUUGCAAAAGAAAGUCUAAAAUUAUUGCCUUUGAAUAGGAAAACUCAAAUAUGGAAAGAAGAAAAAAAAUAAUAAUAAUUAAAAGUAAUAAUAAUAAUAAUUCAGUUAACCUGCACAGUGAUACCCAGGGUUGUGAGAACAGCCCAGUGAUUUUUGAGAACUGGUCAACUCGUGAGCCUGAGAUUUGGGUUCACCAUCUCACAGUGGAACUUUACUGCAGUACGUGGAUGCUACAGUAACAAAGGACUGUGUGCAAUGGACUGUGAGCUUGCUGAAUUUCUUGAUUUAAAUGGCUAUCAAGUUUCUCAACAGAAAGAACAACCGAUCAAAGAGAAGGAAGCAACUUGCUGAAUACCCAGAACGCCAACACAGAGCUGCCUCCAAGCCAGCAGUGUGUGACUGCAUGGAGACUACGUGUGCAAGUUGGUCAGAGCUACAGGAGGAACCGUUGGACGAUGCUGAGGAGUCCUGGAUUCAUCGACGGAAGCAGUUUUGUGAAGACAAGGAAACCGUAAGGCAGGACAUGCAGUAACUGCUAUUGACAAGAUUCGCCCCUGGAACCAAGUUCUUUUUGGGAGUCCUUCUACUUAACUUGGGGAAGAUCUCUGAUAAGUUUACAUCACUUAUCGUAUAGACGAACCUUCCCAGGAACGCACACUCUGUAUAUAUGUAUAUAUAUAUAUUUUGUCAUACACACUGCAAGAAUAUCCUGCACGAGAGCAAACCAGAGAACAAGCCAUGGCCUGCCCGAGGAAGCGCCUGACAUUGAGAAGGCCUGACAUCAUCCCCCAGUGCUCUUUGUUUAACGAUGAGGACUUUAAAGAAAAUCACCAUAUCAAUAGGACAAGGAGAGCACCGAGAAGACAUCUUGGAAACAACAGGAUGA